CGCUAAUUAAAAUAAUACAGCCCCAAAGCUCCGCUUCUAAGCCAGGUAAUUUGCUUAGAAAAUUAAGGCUCUGGGUUUAAAUGUUAUAGAAGAAUGGCAUUUUUUUAGAACAGGAAGAAGACUUAGCAAGCACCCGGCCAGACACUCACAUGUUUUUAGAGGAGGAAAUACUUAAGUUCAGGAAUUCCCUGGAACUCCAGGCACCAGCCAGGAGAGAGGGGCCGGAUCUGUCCUCCAGCUUUUGGAGCUGCAGUCGAGCAGACAAGUGUGCAUCUGUCCCUACAAAGACAUAUGCAGCAUAAAGAGGUGAACCAUAUUAAACAACAAUCAAAAAGAUGGUGGGAACCCUCAAAGAAAAACAAAGGAGAAGAAAAUAGGAGAAGAAAAUAUUCUUUGAGACAACUCAGGAUACUACAGUAAACAAAUGUAGAGCUCAGUGAAUUGUCAUAAAGCCAAUGCAUUUGCAACAGCUACUAGGUCCGUGUAUUCAACUGUACCUGCUACCCAGAAGCCUCUCUCUGUGUCCAUAUCCCAACCACAUGCCUUUUCUCCCUUCAAAGCAACCAGUACCUUCUUUUAUACAAAUCGCUUUCUUGCCUUUUUA
This 604-nucleotide long non-coding RNA is filed under the name Piliocolobus tephrosceles (Ugandan red Colobus). RNAcentral describes it as "lncRNA (ENSPTEG00000033949.1)". The record is from RNAcentral. Lineage: Eukaryota; Metazoa; Chordata; Mammalia; Primates; Cercopithecidae.